GCCGCGACAUUCAAAACCUCAACUUGUCACGAAGUUUUGGGGCCAGUACAAUUCGAAACGUCUCUUUGUGGAAGCUUCUCUCCAGCAGUCGUUCCUCGAGAUCCGCUGGCCGAUGCUGGUUUUUGCUUUUUUGUGGAUCGAUCACUGGAUACUAAAGUAACUGUAGAAUUUGCUCCUAGAUUUUCUCCAUGAUUUUUCACUUCCAAUAACGUUAGCUGUGAAUCUGUCGAAAUUUCUCAUUUUGUGAGGUUGGGAUCGUGUCAUGUGGUGGUGUCUUUCAGGAUCAGACGGGUGAAUUGGAUGCAGUUUGCGUGUUGAGUAUGUUUUUUUAACUGAUACUGCCGCGAGGCAUGAGGAUUUUUGUAUGCUCUUACGAGACCAGCGUUGCCUUAGGGUUGGUGUGACAAGAAUUUAGGUUCGAUGUGGUUGCUGCUGGAAGAAGUUUCGAUUGAAUGUUGGUCUUGCCUGGCUCGAAGGAUGUGGAAGUCUUGCGGAUGGAAAACGCGAUUGUUUGUUUAAUCGCUUCAGAGGAAAACUAUCGAACGCCAUGCCGGAUUACGACAUCGAACCCACAGCCUUGGAAUCUAACAUUCAACAUCUUAUUGAGAAAAAGUACGGUAUACGGGCCGUUCCGUCAACGCGAACUGACCGCAUCGUAGAACAGAACGCCAUACAUCUAUGUUGCAGUGCACAUAAUGAAUCAUACUCGUAACGAAGCGUCGAGAUCCUUUUUCUGGCCGAUAAACUGCAGUUUGUAUAGAAUAGUCACGCCAGAUCGUUCACCACGAGCUGUUCACAAACACUACUGUUUCAGGUUCUGCUUACAGUGAGUGGCCAAGUUCUCGACGCAAGAAAGGUAUGAUUUGCCAACAGUUCAGUCCCAGCUGUAAGAAACCACUUCGACAAGUGUGCGUUCCUAGCUUGAAUGAUGACAGCGAGCUCUUGAAGGUCAAUGACAUUAGCUGCAGACCAGGCGAAGCAAAAUUUUGUAUAGUAAAUACAUAUUCUCCGCGGAAGAUGUGCUUUUUGUGUAGUCUUGUACACUUUGAAGUAUACAAUAGGACAUUAGCAUAAUAGAAUAUUGAAUUUAUGUAGAUAAUUUUGAUGUGAAAGUAGUGGUUGAAAUAAGAUUUUGAAUAGACUGUUUCAUGUAUUGCAACUGUGGAGGGAUUGUGUAAAAGUAAAAGUUGCAUGUUACAUAGUACAUAUCUAAAAGAUGAAUGAAUUUCUAUAAAGUCUAUUAAUUAUAUAUUUAA
Molecule: non-coding RNA, 1256 nt
Organism: Physcomitrium patens
Lineage: Eukaryota; Viridiplantae; Streptophyta; Bryopsida; Funariales; Funariaceae
Source: RefSeq, a predicted model, not a curated record